Molecule: long non-coding RNA, 1128 nt
Filed under: Ananas comosus (pineapple)
Lineage: Eukaryota; Viridiplantae; Streptophyta; Magnoliopsida; Poales; Bromeliaceae
Description: long non-coding RNA (ACOM_LNC034857)
Source: RNAcentral
UUUGCAUUUAAAAUUUAUUAAAUUCAUACAUAAUUUUAUAAUAUAUAAAUUAUAUAUAGAUAUAAAAGUCUUAAUUAAUAAUUAAAAUAUGAUUACGUUAUACUCAGAAGAAGUAAUCUCACAUUUUUAUCUAAAAAUUGAUAGAAUUUACAAAUACAAAUUUCAACUGUAGACUACCAAACAGAAGAAAUGUAACUGCAGCAGUUGCAACUGCAUAAAAUCAAACAAACUAUGGGCGCGUUUGAUUCGAAGUCGGAAUCGGAAUUGGAAUCGAAAUAAGUUGGAAUCGGAAUUGGAAUGACUCAUUACUUAAUUCUGUUUGGUUCGUUAUCUGAAUCGGUAUCGGAAUAAAUCAUUCCCAUUGUCGGUAUUUGGUUCAGGUAGAUAUAAAAAACGUAAUCAAAUUAAUAUACUAAUUUUAUCUUUAUAAUAUAUUAAUUUAAAUUCAAAUUGAAAAUUAAAUAUUAAAAAUUUAUAUCAAGAUUUUGAAAUAAUGUCCAAAUUUUAAAUAUAUUUUUUUUAAAAAAAAUUUAAACUUUGAAGUUGAGUGGAUAAUUCAAAAUAUAAAACUAAAUUUCAAUUUAUUCAAAUUCAAAUUUAAAAUUAUAAUUUAAAUUUUAAUUUGAAUCCAUAAAUUUAAUUUAAGUUUUAAAUAAAUUUGAAUAAAAUUUUAUAUAAAUUAAAAUGUAAUUUAAAUUCAAAUUUAUAAGUUAGAUUCAAAAGACUCGAUUAAAUUUUAAAUUUUAAUUAAAAUUAAAAUUAAAAUUAUAAAUUAUAAAUUUAAUUUCUAAAUUUAAACUCAUAUUUUAAUUAAAAAAGUUGAAAAAAUAAAUUUAAUCCGAAUAAAUAUUCAUUCCGUCCGGAUUCAACUUCCAAUCCGGUCUAAGUUGGAAAAAGAGGUGAUUGGGAAAUUUCCAUUCCACUCGGAAAUCGGAAUCAAAAUGGGACUCCCGCAUACCAAACACCCACAAACGAAUUUACCAAUUCCGAUUCCGAUUCCAUGAUAAAAAAGAGGCGAAUCAAACACUCCCUAAAUGUAGUUUAUGACUGCAGCAUAUAUAAUUGUAUGUAUUUUCAACUAUAUUAUUUUUGUAACUACAUCUAACCAAGCGGCUCCUUAGAUUACAU